Molecule: transfer RNA, 72 nt
Filed under: Heliconius melpomene (postman butterfly)
Lineage: Eukaryota; Metazoa; Arthropoda; Insecta; Lepidoptera; Nymphalidae
Description: tRNA HMEL010046
Source: RNAcentral
GUAUGUAUGGAUUAGUGAUCAGAGCAUUUGGACGGCUUACCAGGGGCGCGGGUUCGAAUCUCGCUAUGUUUA